Molecule: ribosomal RNA, 253 nt
Filed under: uncultured bacterium
Lineage: Bacteria
Description: partial 16S ribosomal RNA
Rfam family: Bacterial small subunit ribosomal RNA
Source: RNAcentral
UACGGAGGGUGCAAGCGUUAAUCGGAAUUACUGGGCGUAAAGGGCUCGUAGGCGGCUAGCUAAGUCGGAUGUGAAAUCCCCAAGCUUAACUUGGGAACUGCAUCCGAUACUGGAUGGCUUGAAUCCGGGAGAGGGAUGCAGAAUUCCAGGUGUAGCGGUGAAAUGCGUAGAUAUCUGGAGGAAUACCGGUGGCGAAGGCGGCAUCCUGGACCGGCAUUGACGCUGAGGAGCGAAAGCUAGGGGAGCAAACGGG